Molecule: long non-coding RNA, 1415 nt
Organism: Drosophila rhopaloa
Lineage: Eukaryota; Metazoa; Arthropoda; Insecta; Diptera; Drosophilidae
Exons: 3
Source: RefSeq, a predicted model, not a curated record
ACCCACCGAUGGGAAUAAACGAAAACAAAAUACAAAAUUCGAAGCGCAGAAAAAAAACACGACCGUUCACUUUGAAAGUCAAAGACGUUUGGACAUCGAAUCUUCUCAACAGUUGGAUGGCAGCGAACAAGGAAAUGGUGCCUCACUUGUAACUCAGCCACCACCGCUACCGCCAGCAGAAGCGAUUCCCGAUAUCUCCGUGGAGCAGCCUUCAGAUGUGCAGCAGAACUUGAAGCUGAAGCUGAAAAAAAUUGGAGGGAUGUGGCAGCCUGUCACUGCGAGCGUUGCUGACAGCGGAGAACAUGCUGACAUUCAUUGAGUCAUUCUCUUACAUACACUUGUACAGUGCGGACCGCACCGGAGAAAGAAUAAAUAUUAUUUGUGUCAUUACAGUCCUCUUCACGCUUUCGGGAUCGGUAUGACGUUUACCGUUGAAGCCAACCCGAACGCCUGUCGGAAGUCAACUCCAAAGUUCGCUGCCUGCAGCUAGUGCCGUUUCCACUACGUACUUCUGGACGGGCACACCUAAACCUUCGACCAGGUCUCUGCACGUGACUCAUCUUGUUGGCAGAUCUGAAUGAUUUUCCCGUUUGAGCUGAAGCCGCUAAAUAGAUAAUAAAUAAUCGUACAAUGCGUGUAAGUCACGGAACACGACCACUCAUUUAAGUUUAAAACCGAUAUGAAAAAUAAAAAACCAACCAGAAACCAAAUAAAUCAAAUUUAAAAGUUUGUACAGUGUGCACUCGGCUUAGACGUUUGACAGCUACCGAUUUAUAUCCCUGGCCUACGCAAAGUCAUUUGCCAUUUUUCCCUGUACUAUCCCAAAACUGGGUUAUAAAAAAAAUCCAAAGCCAUCCUAACGAAACCCUAAGCACACUGAGCUAGGAGGGGGUCACCCUUUACCAAACUUUAUCGAAAUCCCAAUAAAACCAAAAUAAAACCAAAUAACCAAUUACCUACUAUCUUAUUUCCUUCCAGCCAACUUUAAACGCAUAAACUUUCACAUUGACUAUUUUUUUUCCGGCACUUUAUCCAUUUUAAGAUUUUUAAAUCCUUUGAUUUACCUUUAAAAUGCCUUUCCAAAAUUGUAUGGCUUUCCAAAAUGCCUUGCAAUUGACCUCAAAAUCAAAUGCAAUCUGCUUCAAAGGUAAUUUUUCUACUUCGCACUCAUGUCUAGGAAGGCAACGAGCUUUAACAAUUCAAAAGUUCAUGACAGCCUAAAACUUAUCUAAAACCAAAGUUAUAUUGUGGCAAAACUGAAACAGUGAAUUCUUUUGCACAUUUUGCCUUCCCCCAGCCAUUCUGGAAAACUCGCCCAUAAAAAAUAACACCCAAUCAACAGCUGAAACAAUGCAUACGUAUAAACCGGUUAGCAGAAUAGUAAAUAAUAUGAAAAAUUACAGAUUGAAUAAUAG